UAUGAUAAAGAUCGCUGUGAUGGUUGAGAUUCGACUAGCCAUGUUAAUCACAGGUUUUCUUUCUGCCAAUAGAUGGACUUUCCUCCUCCUCCUCCAAUGACUCCAGUUUAAGCCUCACACCAGCCCUCUCCAAAUGCCAAAUGAGGAAAAUCUCCAGUCACAGUGAUCUAGCUGAUGCCCCUGCUUCCCAGGAUCUUGGCCAUGGUGAACUUGACCCACAGAGGGUGGAGGAGUCUUCUCAGGACGGCUCUGAGGAGGACCAGCAGGACAUCGGCUGGGAGAAGGCCAGUCUCACGUCAGCAGAGCUCCCUGCAUCUCAAGCCGGCAGAGCGUCAGUCAUCGGGGAAGAGGGCGGUGGCGGUACACCCACGCUGAGUAGUGAGGAAGCAGGGUCCGGAGAACAGUGCCAAGAAGCUGGUCUGACUUCUACCUUGAGCUGCUUGGCACCCAGAUCAGAAAGCAAGCACGAAGAGUCUUCUGACCUCACCGACUCCAGCAAGCCCGAAGGUCAUGCCGGUUUUGAACACUUCUCGCCCACCGCCGAAGGUGCCUUCUGCUAAAAAUGUGGUAACAGCUGGUCCAGCCCUUAGGUCUUGAAGUCCCAAGAGAGAUUAAGGAGAAGAUAUUGGACCCAGGAGAAAAUUAACAGGUAAAUAAUGCAUGAAGCAGCCUUUAUUAUUGUCUGUGUGAACUUGAGUACCUGGGUCUUCAAGAUCUAGGAGAUAAUUAAUCAAUGGUAUUCAUUAGUGCUUACUGUGCACAGAACUCUGUACUAAGUGCUUGAAUUAAACAGAAGAUACUACACAAAUCUCUUCUAUUUAUGCCUUAAAUAUUCCC
Molecule: long non-coding RNA, 837 nt
Filed under: Ornithorhynchus anatinus (platypus)
Lineage: Eukaryota; Metazoa; Chordata; Mammalia; Monotremata; Ornithorhynchidae
Description: lncRNA (ENSOANG00000034232.2)
Source: RNAcentral